UACCAUGCUCCCUCGUGGUUCCCACAAUUCCCAGCACAGCAUACUGUGCAUCCUGUGCUGGGAAUUGUGGGAACCGCGAGGGAGCAUGGA
RNAcentral lists this microRNA precursor (90 nucleotides) under Pelobates cultripes (western spadefoot toad). The record is from RNAcentral. Lineage: Eukaryota; Metazoa; Chordata; Amphibia; Anura; Pelobatidae.